AAUCAACGCUGGCGGCGUGCCUAACACAUGCAAGUCGAACGCGAAAAUUCCUUCGGGGAUGAGUAGAGUGGCGUCCGGGUGAGUAACGCGUGGGUAAUCUGCCUUCGGGUGGGAGUAACCACGGAACGUAGGCGUAUACCGCAUAAUAGCAGCGGCUCGACAUCGAGACAGUUGUUAAAGUACAGCAAUGCGCCUGAAGAGGAGCCUGCGUCUGAUUAGUCAGUUGGUAAGGUAAUGGCUUACCAAGGCUACGAUCAGUAGCUGGUCUGAGA
Molecule: ribosomal RNA, 272 nt
Filed under: uncultured bacterium
Lineage: Bacteria
Description: partial 16S ribosomal RNA
Rfam family: Bacterial small subunit ribosomal RNA
Source: RNAcentral